RNAcentral lists this ribosomal RNA (330 nucleotides) under Triticum aestivum (bread wheat). Its description in RNAcentral is "partial small subunit ribosomal RNA". The record is from RNAcentral. Lineage: Eukaryota; Viridiplantae; Streptophyta; Magnoliopsida; Poales; Poaceae.
AGGAAAGCCCCCGCCCUCGUCCUCAAGCUGGAUUUUGCUAAAGCGUUCGACUCUGUCAACUGGGAGUGCCUUCGUCGAGUCUUGUAGGUGCGCGGCUUCCCUGAGAGGUGGUGCGCAUGGAUGGAUGCUAUCCUUUGUUCCUCCAGCUCCGCCGUGCUGCUCAACGGAGCGCCGAGGGCGUGGUUCCCAGUCAGGUGUGGCCUUCGCCAAGGAGACCCGAUGUCGCCCUACCUCUUCCUCCUGGUGGCGGACGUCCUGCAAUGGGUGGUGCCGCGCGACCCCCUGCUCAGGCACCCGGUGGUGGACGGUGAACCGCCGAUCGUGCUCUAA